RNAcentral lists this ribosomal RNA (398 nucleotides) under uncultured bacterium. Its description in RNAcentral is "bacterial SSU rRNA". It matches the Rfam family "Bacterial small subunit ribosomal RNA", at positions 362 to 776 of the family's 1533-position model. The record is from RNAcentral.
UAUUGCACAAUGGGGGGAAACCCUGAUGCAACGACGCCGCGUGUGGGAAGACGGUCCUCUGGAUUGUAAACCACUGUCCCCAGGGACGAAGAUGACGGUACCUGGGGAGGAAGCUCCGGCUAACUACGUGCAAGCAGCCGCGGUAAUACGUAGGGAGCGAGCGUUGUCCGGAAGUACUGGGUGUAAAGGGAGCGUAGGCGGGGAUGCAAGUUGGGUGUCAAAACUACCGGCUCAACUGGUAGUCGCACUCAAAACUGCAGCUCUUGAGUGAAGUAGAGGCAGGCGGAAUUCCUAGUGUAGCGGUGAAAUGCGUAGAUAUUAGGAGGAACACCAGUGGCGAAGGCGGCCUGCUGGGCUUUUACUGACGCUGAGGCUCGAAAGUGUGGGGAGCAAACAGG